CGGGAUUUAUGACCUAGUAACUGAGGACAGAAAUAAUUGGUCACAUUAGUGCCUGGCAACCCCAGGCCGGCUCCGCUGUGGAGGGGCAGCCUGCAUUGAAAGGGCUGAGGCAAGUUUACUGUUCUCAGCUCAGGUACUCUCCUGUGGCCAACACAGCCCUAAUGAGCUCUGCAUAUUCAAGACACGAGUAAUUGAUGGUCCAAUUUAAGGUGUGCAUGGGCCACAUUUCUUUCCAGGCUCUGGAGGAAAAACACCAGCUGAGGAAGAAUGAAGAGCUGCCUGUUCUAAGUUAUUUUCCUUCUGUGGUCAUUCGAUCCCCAGGAAGACGGCGUCUGCCCCAUCGAGUGCCUGGAGAAAGGAGGCAAUUACCCAGAGAAGUCAAGCAAAAAGGGAAGGACAAAUGAAAAUCCCGCCCCAGGGAGGAGGUCCCGGGCUCCACGCUGGAGUGGAUACAACCCUCAGCACACCCUGCCUCGCACAGAAGCUUGAUGAGCUCCCUGCCACUGAGGAUGUGUGAGCACAAGCUGGGUGAGCACCUGUCGGGAUGUCACAGGAGGAGGAGUAGGUCCUUGCCUCGCUGCGAUGCUGUGGCUCCGAGCGGCAGUCAGCGGCACUCCUCUCUUGGGUUUAGCCUUCGACGUUGGUGCAGAAGCUGGAAGUGUUUCACUUACACAGAAAAGAGACUGAGCAAUCCUGUGACUCAGCAUCGCUACCUUGAUUUUUCAGCUGAUCAAACUAAGGCUCAGAAAGGCGAGUCUGAAUCGCUCAAAGUUCCUUUGGUUGCAAGCAACAGAAACGAACUGAAUCUCACUUCACCUAAAGAGAGAAAGUCGUCGUAAGAUGCAGCGGUCAUUUGGGGAACCCAAGCUCACGUGUGAGCACUGGGCAGCGUCCCAGAAAUGACAAGAACCAGGAGAGGGAGGCAGCAGAGGGCUCGGGGAGUGUUGCUUCUCCUUCUCUCCCCUUGUCUCGACUUGGCUGCUGGGCUGCCUCUGUCUUUUUUCUCUGAAGACUGACUUUCUCAGCUGCUCGGUGCAAAUAGUUGGAGGAAUGGCAGCCUCCCACAGCUUCCAGGUUCACACAUUAUCAUGCCAACCAUAGGAGAGACUGCCCUUCUGCCUCCCUCUCUCUGGAUUGCACAUUAGCACAGCAUGUCCCUUCAGCUCGGAUCUUGGAAUGAAGAAGACACACAGAGCAGAGCUGCAGCCACCCUGCAGUCACCUCCAACAGUGAGAAAUAAACUUUUGAGAACCGACUCGUCUGAGACCCAGUCUUGAGAGCAGGCCAUGCUGUGGCAGGCGUCCCACGUAUAAAGUGGAGCAAGAUGGGCACAGAUGUUAGCUCAGGGCCAGUCUUCCUCAGCAAAAAGAGGAGGAUUGGCAGUAGGUAGCUCAGGGCUGAUCUUCCUCAAAAACAAAAAAACAAAAGAAGGCGGGGAGGAGCAGGGGGCAGUCCCCCGGGGGGAUUCCCAGAUUUCUUUUUUUG
This 1485-nucleotide long non-coding RNA is filed under the name Equus caballus (horse). RNAcentral describes it as "lncRNA (ENSECAG00000045244.1)". The record is from RNAcentral. Lineage: Eukaryota; Metazoa; Chordata; Mammalia; Perissodactyla; Equidae.